CCCUUAGAUGUCCUGGGCCGCACGCGCGCUACACUGAUGCAUUCAACGAGUUUACCUUGGCCGAGAGGCCUGGGCAAUCUUUUAAACCUGCAUUGUGAUAGGGAUAGAUUAUUGCAAUUAUUAAUCUUGAACGAGGAAUUCCUAGUAAACGCAGAUCAUCGAUCUGCAUUGAUUACGUCCCUGCCCUUUGUACACACCGCCCGUCGCUCCUACCGAUUGAAUGAUCCGAUGAAUAUCAUGGAUUGAGGAUGCAAGUAGGUUAGCCUAUCUUCAUCUUCGAGAAGUGAAGUAAAUCUUAUCAUUUAGAGGAAGGAGAAGUCGUAACA
This 326-nucleotide ribosomal RNA is filed under the name uncultured eukaryote. RNAcentral describes it as "partial 18S ribosomal RNA". It matches the Rfam family "Eukaryotic small subunit ribosomal RNA", at positions 1470 to 1796 of the family's 1831-position model. The record is from RNAcentral.